CUACGUGCCAGCAGCCGCGGUAAUACGUAUGUCGCGAGCGUUAUCCGGAAUUAUUGGGCAUAAAGGGCAUCUAGGCGGCCUUUCAAGUCAGGGGUGAAAACCUGCGGCUCAACCGCAGGCCUGCCUUUGAAACUGAUAGGCUGGAGUACCGGAGAGGUGGACGGAACUGCACGAGUAGAGGUGAAAUUCGUAGAUAUGUGCAGGAAUGCCGAUGAUGAAGAUAGUUCACUGGACGGUAACUGACGCUGAAGUGCGAAAGCCGGGGGAGCAAACAGGAUUAGAUACCCUGGUAGUCCCGGCCGUAAACGAUGAUUACUGGGUGUGGGCAGGAAGACUGUCUGUGCCGAAGCGAAUGCGAUAAGUAAUCCGCCUGGGGAGUACGGCCGCAAGGCUGAAACUCAAAGGAAUUGACGGGGACCCGCACAAGCGGUGGAGCAUGUGGUUUAAUUCGACGCAACGCGAGGAACCUUACCAGAUCUUGACAUCCCG
RNAcentral lists this ribosomal RNA (489 nucleotides) under uncultured bacterium. RNAcentral's name for it is "bacterial SSU rRNA". It matches the Rfam family "Bacterial small subunit ribosomal RNA", at positions 501 to 991 of the family's 1533-position model. The record is from RNAcentral.